GGGGUUGUAGCUCAAUGGUGGAGCACUUGCUAGCAUGUAAGGGGCCCUGGGUUCAAUCCUCAGCAUCACAU
RNAcentral lists this transfer RNA (71 nucleotides) under Marmota marmota marmota (Alpine marmot). It matches the Rfam family "tRNA". Rfam says of the family: Transfer RNA (tRNA) molecules are approximately 80 nucleotides in length. RNAcentral also lists the same sequence under 1 other name. Lineage: Eukaryota; Metazoa; Chordata; Mammalia; Rodentia; Sciuridae. The record is from Rfam by way of RNAcentral.